CUUAGUCUGGUUUCGGCUGAUGAUUAUCGGAUCAUGGGUCGAAAUCGGAUCCCCA
Molecule: small RNA, 55 nt
Filed under: Arabidopsis thaliana (thale cress)
Lineage: Eukaryota; Viridiplantae; Streptophyta; Magnoliopsida; Brassicales; Brassicaceae
Description: ATSL104920
Source: RNAcentral